Panicum virgatum (switchgrass) is the source of this 876-nucleotide long non-coding RNA. RefSeq lists it as uncharacterized. The record is from RefSeq and is a predicted model, not a curated record. The transcript is spliced from 5 exons. NCBI's taxonomy places the organism in Eukaryota, Viridiplantae, Streptophyta, Magnoliopsida, Poales, Poaceae.
UCCAAAAUUCUGACGGCGUCUAUUCCUGCUGCUUGAAUUGAUCGGCCUGCUGAUGGCUCACCACCAUUUGGAGGAUGGGAUCACGUGGUCACCCCUGCGACGCUCGACAACGGCUGCAAACGUGCAACUUCAGGCAGGUCGCCUCUAUCUGUUUGCCACCACAUAAGUGUCAUGCCGAUGGUGGGGACUGUGUUCACGCACUCCCUUGAGAGGAUGGAGCAUGUUAAUUGAGAGAGCAGCAUUAUCCUAAUGAAGCUGUUUCUCGAAGUAUGCAAGCCCACGCUUCAUGUGCUAGGGAAAUUUGGGUUAACCAUGUCUAUUGUCAAGAUUGAUAUAGAAGGCAGUAUCAUAUUUAUGGCAACACAUUGGUGAUGUUCUUGAGCAGAGGCCGGAGACAGAAUAUGCAUAUUAAAAAGUAGGAGCAGCUGCAUGGCAUGGUGAAAGUAGAAGUUAGCACAAAGACUGACGAAAGUUCUAGCAGUUGUAACAACGAUCUUCUCUAGCUGACAAGCGACGGUAGCCAAAUGCGGGGGGGCUCGAGUUCCUGGAUGUUGUGAAGCUCCUGGAAUCUGAGGGUGACCACUGGAUGCCUGCGCCCGCCGCCGACUCCGCAUGUCGAUGCCGUCCCGCACGAUGUUGCCUCCACACGUCAUUUGCUCCGGCCGUCGCCGGCAUCGCACGCCAUCCAGGGUCUCCCCAUCCUCCACCAGCACCUCGCUUCUCUGACCUGACUAGCUGCGGGCGUGCAUGUCUCUCUCCCAUGUUGUGUGACCGCAUCACCAUGUCAUUCAAAAUCAAGAUCGAUUUCUUUCUCCAAUGGAAAAGCUAUCCAGGACAUCAGCAGUUUUACUAUUGCCUUUGACAGUGAAGUUCAGA